GAGGGUAUAGCUCAGGGGUAGAGCGCCUGCUCAGCAUGCACGAGGUCCUGGGUUCAACCCCUAGUAUUGCCA
Molecule: transfer RNA, 72 nt
Filed under: Camelus bactrianus (Bactrian camel)
Lineage: Eukaryota; Metazoa; Chordata; Mammalia; Artiodactyla; Camelidae
Also listed under: 2 other names
Rfam family: tRNA
About the family: Transfer RNA (tRNA) molecules are approximately 80 nucleotides in length. Their secondary structure includes four short double-helical elements and three loops (D, anti-codon, and T loops). Further hydrogen bonds mediate the characteristic L-shaped molecular structure. tRNAs have two regions of fundamental functional importance: the anti-codon, which is responsible for specific mRNA codon recognition, and the 3' end, to which the tRNAs corresponding amino acid is attached (by aminoacyl-tRNA synthetases). tRNAs cope with the degeneracy of the genetic code in two manners: having more than one tRNA (with a specific anti-codon) for a particular amino acid; and 'wobble' base-pairing, i.e. permitting non-standard base-pairing at the 3rd anti-codon position.
Source: Rfam by way of RNAcentral